This 328-nucleotide ribosomal RNA is filed under the name uncultured eukaryote. RNAcentral's name for it is "partial 18S ribosomal RNA". It matches the Rfam family "Eukaryotic small subunit ribosomal RNA", at positions 1470 to 1796 of the family's 1831-position model. The record is from RNAcentral.
CCCUUAGAUGUCCUGGGCCGCACGCGCGUUACACUGAUGCAUUCAACGAGCUUAUAACCUUGGCCGAGAGGCCUGGGCAAUCUUGUUAACGUGCAUCGUGAUAGGGAUAGAUUAUUGAAAUUAUUAAUCUUGAACGAGGAAUUCCUAGUAAACGCAGAUCAUCAAUCUGCAUUGAUUACGUCCCUGCCCUUUGUACACACCGCCCGUCGCACCUACCGAUUGGAUGGUCCGGUGAAUCCUCGGGAUUGUGGUUCUUGCCGCUUUAUUGUGGCGUGACCGCGAGAACUUGUCUAAACCUUAUCAUCUAGAGGAAGGUGAAGUCGUAACA